UACAGAGGGUGCGAGCGUUAAUCGGAAUUACUGGGCGUAAAGCGCGCGUAGGCGGCUUUGCAAGUCGAGUGUGAAAUCCCCAGGCUCAACCUGGGAACUGCUCUCGAGACUGCAUCGCUAGAGUAUGGGAGAGGGAAGUGGAAUUUCAGGUGUAGCGGUGAAAUGCGUAGAUAUCAGGAGGAACACCAGCGGCGAAGGCGGCGCUCUGGGCCGGUACUGACGCUGAGGAGCGAAAGCGUGGGGAUCAAACAGG
Molecule: ribosomal RNA, 253 nt
Filed under: uncultured bacterium
Lineage: Bacteria
Description: partial 16S ribosomal RNA
Rfam family: Bacterial small subunit ribosomal RNA
Source: RNAcentral